GCCCGCCUAGCUCAAUCGGAUAGAGCGUCAGACUCUUAGUCUGAGAGUAAAUACCCGGCGGGAAUCUGAAGGCUGCGAGUUCGACCCUCGCGGUGGGCU
Transfer RNA from Fomitopsis pinicola, 99 nucleotides. It matches the Rfam family "tRNA". From Rfam's summary of the family: Transfer RNA (tRNA) molecules are approximately 80 nucleotides in length. Lineage: Eukaryota; Fungi; Basidiomycota; Agaricomycetes; Polyporales; Fomitopsidaceae. The record is from Rfam.